AAAAUCGUAACAAGGUUUCCGUAGGUGAACCUGCGGAAGGAUCAUUACCACACCAUAAAAACUUUCCACGUGAACCGUUACAAUUAUGUUCUGUGCCUUCUCUCGGGGAGGCUGAACGAAGGUGGGCUGCUGUUAUGGCGGACUGCCGAUGUAUUUUUCAAACCCAUUUACUUAAUACUGAACUAUACUCCGAGAACGAAAGUUUUUGGUUUUAAUCCAUAACAACUUUCAGCAGUGGAUGUCUAGGCUCGCACAUCGAUGAAGAACGCUGCGAACUGCGAUACGUAAUGCGAAUUGCAGAAUUCAGUGAGUCAUCGAAAUUUUGAACGCACAUUGCACUUUCGGGUUAUGCCUGGAAGUAUGCUUGUAUCAGUGUCCGUACAUCAAACUUGCCUUUCUUUUCUUGUGUAGUCAAGAUUAGAGAUGGCAGAAUGUGAGGUGUCUCGCUGGCUCCCUCUUCGGAGGAGAAGACGCGAGUCCCUUUAAAUGUACGUUCGCUCUUUCUUGUGUCUAAGAUGAAGUGUGACUUUCGAACGCAGUGAUCUGUUUGGAUCGCUCUGCGCGAGUGGGCGACUUCGGUUAGGACAUUAAAGGAAGCAACCUCUAUUGGCGGUAUGUUAGGCUUCGGCCCGACUUUGCAGCUGACGGGGUGUUGUUUUCUGUUCUUUCCUUGAGGUGUACCUGUCUUGUGUGGGGCAAUGGUCUGGGCAAAUGGUUGUUGUGUAGUAGAAUUUUGCUGCUCUUGGGCGCCCUUUAUGGGUAAAGAAGGCAACACCAAUUUGGGACAGUCUUGUGAGAGUUUCGGCUCCUGCAGGCGCUUUUUCAAUUGGACCUGAUAUCAAGUAAGAUUACCCGCUGAACUUAAGCAUAUCA
This 873-nucleotide ribosomal RNA is filed under the name Pythium myriotylum. RNAcentral's name for it is "eukaryotic LSU rRNA". The stretch from base 224 to 378 matches the Rfam family "5.8S ribosomal RNA". The record is from RNAcentral. Lineage: Eukaryota; Oomycota; Peronosporomycetes; Pythiales; Pythiaceae.